CGGCCUCUGGGACGGCGGUCUGGUGGCGCUGCGGCUGCCGUCGGUACUGGCGGUCGCCGCGGCGGCGGUCGGC
Molecule: transfer RNA, 73 nt
Filed under: Streptomyces atratus
Lineage: Bacteria; Bacillati; Actinomycetota; Actinomycetes; Kitasatosporales; Streptomycetaceae
Description: tRNA-Arg
Source: RNAcentral